RNAcentral lists this ribosomal RNA (37 nucleotides) under Microstromatales sp. JCM 11353. Its description in RNAcentral is "partial 26S rRNA". Lineage: Eukaryota; Fungi; Basidiomycota; Exobasidiomycetes; Microstromatales. The record is from RNAcentral.
UCCAUCUCUGACCCACUUUUCAUUUAACUCUGGCCUC